Molecule: non-coding RNA, 2933 nt
Organism: Oryctolagus cuniculus (rabbit)
Lineage: Eukaryota; Metazoa; Chordata; Mammalia; Lagomorpha; Leporidae
Source: RefSeq, a predicted model, not a curated record
GGGGAGCAAUCCGGACUGGACUAAGUUACUCGAAUUAGGACUUAUUCUAUGCAUCUGCUCUCCCACAAUAUGGCGCUGGGAGAGAAGUAAACAGCUUCCGCACAGCUGCCUCCAGUUCAACCAAUUAACUGUAGGACUUGCUCCUGAUUGGAGAGCAGCGUACUCAGCCGAGUUGGGAUUGGCGGAGGAGGACUAUAAAGGAGGAGAGAGACGGCAUGCACCGGGAACAUCUAUGGGGAACAUCUAAGGGAACCCGUGCAGCCCCCGAGAAGAGCCGGCCGGCGGUGUGCCGCUCCCCUGCGGAAGUGGGGAAUGCGGCCAGGGGGAACUGCCCUUCCACGGAGGUGGAAGGGAUAGUGGCCAACCCGGGAAGAACCAGCAGCAAACCCGGGGAGGGCCGAGCAGACUGAAAGAACAGCGCAGGGUCCUGUGUCGUUCCUCCACGAAGAGGGGGAGCGACAUAAUGGUGCCGUGACUCGGAUAGGAAACCUGACUCGGAUAGGAAACCUAGCUCGGAUAGGAAACCUAGGACGGAUAGAAAACUUAGGAGGGAAGAAACCGGGAAGAAGUGGGAAAUUACCGGAGAGAGAGACUAGCAAACAGCCUAGGGAAAAGCCGGACGAAAGAGGUGCCGGAGGAAGCUGUUGAAAGCCUAGGCAUAGAUUCAGAUACGGACUACAAGGGGAAGCUGGGAGAAAUCUCUAAGGUUGAAAGCGAAAGUGAAAGCUUUCAUAGACUCGGAUGCGGACUAUGGCGGGGAAGCUAGGAGAUUGAAAGCGAAAGUGAAACCUGGAGGAGGCUUGGACUCGGAUACGGACUGUGGGAAAGAAGUUAGGAUUUAAAGUGAAAGCAAGAAGAAACUUAGACUCAGAUACGGACUGCAGGUUGAAAGUGAAAGUGAAACCUAGAAGAAACUUAGACUCGGAUACGGACUGUGGGGAGAAGCCAGGAGAAAUGAGAGGAAUAUUGUUGGAAGAAAACUUAAGGAAACAACCGGGUAGAGAAAAAUGUUAGGGAGGAUGAAGCCGCGAGUGCAGGCUGAGGCGGAGAUAUAAGCCACCUUGGAAUUCUUCAAGUCACCCCGGGGAGCAAGAGGCGAAGAUCUGGAACCAGAGGCAGAGACGUGGGCCGCCAGGAUUCACCAGGAACUUGCCUUGAAUUCUGAGAGGGGGAAUAUGAGCCACACUGGUAUCAAGAAGCUCAAGGAAAUGAACAUGGCCGAGGGUAGAUUUCAAAUAUGUAGGGAUUAUAAUGGCCCAUCCUAGACAUGUGGGUGGUGGAACAGCAUCUGCAUUGGUGCCCCCGGUUUGCUUUGAGUAAGGAGACAGCUCACGGUGCCGCCUCAUGAGCCGGAGGCCGCGUGAAAGAAGUGGACAGCCACUCUUGCCUUGAGUGUCCAUAAAUAUUAACCAUCUUGGUGCAGAUUCUCCCUGAAAAUGAUCACCGAGGUUCCCCUCAAACAGUUCUUGACAGGAGCAUGCAGAGAAGGCUGGCAGCUCCGAGUGUUCCCAGACAGCUCAUGGUUUGUUGUCGCUAAAGGACAACCCUGAGAUGCCAAGGCUGGCUGCCUUUCCCAGCCCUGGGAUGCUGAGCCCGGACCAUUGAGACACCGUUGAUGUGAACAAACGAAGAACAAAUUAACCUGCUUUGGAAUGAAUGAUUGAAUUCUGCUCAGGCUCAGUUGCUUGAGUUUCCUGCAAACUCAGUGUAUUUUGGGGUUGACGGUGCAUUGCUCUGCUACUCCGCUGGUCUCUGAUGGCCAUUGUCAAGGAGGUGAGGUGCAAGUCUUCACUUCAGGCUCCAGGAGUAAUGAGGAUGCAUUUGGUGAACUCAGACCUCAGAACCUGAGACCAGCUCAGCCCUAACCAGUCUGUCUAGGCAGUCAGCAGCCACAGGGAGACCUGGUUGGAGGUACUGCGGGCAGCCAGGGAGGUCAUCCCUUCGUAGGAUGUGGCAGGAGUCCAGCAUCUUCCCCUCCUGUGGUCCUGUCUGCAUAUGGCUGCACAUAUAGAGAGAUUAUAAGGACAGAGGUAGUAGAUUUGGGCACAGAUACAGACCCCUUUCCCACAUAAAUACAUUUCUGUGAAGAAGUGAAUUAAUGGGCCAGCACCGUGGCUCACUAGGCUAAUCCUCCGCCUAGCGGCGCCGGCACACCAGGUUCUAGUCCCGGUCGGGGUGCCAGAUUCUGUCCUGGUUGCCCCUCUUCCAGGCCAGCUCUCUGCUGUGGCCCGGGAAGGCAGUGGAGGAUGCCCAAGUGCUUGGGUCCUGCACCCCAUGGGAGACCAGGAGAAGCACCUGGCUCCUGGCUUCGGAUCAGCGUGGUGUGCCAGCCGCGGUGGCCAUUGGAGGGUGAACCAACGGCAAAGGAAGACCUUUCUGUCUGUCUCUCUCUCUCUCACUGUCCACUCUGCCUGUUUAAAAAAAAAGUGAAUUAUUUUUAAAUGUGUGUUUUUUAGAGUGCAUCCUUUAAAGUACUUUCAUAUUUUGCCUGGAUUGCUUUUGGAAGGAAGAAUUUUUAAGUGUAAGAUGUGGUUUCUGGCUACCUUAAAAUUAAAAAAAAAUUGUGAAACAAAAGGGUGGGGAAAGAGAGAGUGAGAAGGGGGGGGGAGAGAGAGAGAGAGAGAGAGAGAGAGAGAAAGCAAGCAAGUGCUCUUCUCUGUUGGUUCACUCCCCAAAUGUCUACAGAAGCUGGGACUGGGCUGGGCCAAAGCCAGGAGCCAGGAACUAACUUCAUUUGAGUGGUAAGAACUCAAUGACUUGAGCCAUCACUGGUGGCCUCCCAGGGUCCACAUUAACAGGAGGCUAAGACUUUAACCUGGGCACUCCAAUGUGGGACGUGGGCAGCUCAGCUGCUAGGCCAGAUGCCCAUCCCAAUUCCUGUCCUGUUAAGGCAGAGUACUCCAGAGUCAAUUUAGCCUUAAAUAUCUUUUUUU